ACACCUAGAAGCUUAGAAGUUUCAUGUCUUUGACUAGAAGCUCUGUGUAUUUAACUAGAGUGGCAGAAAAAUUGAAUGCUCGCUGCUCUCCAAGCUGAUCUUCGACUCUGCUAUGCCUGAGCUUGAACAAAAUGCCUCAUAUUCUAUCACUCAAGCAGCAAAACCUGGCUUGGUCCCUCUUUGGGUGGGCAUCCAGUGAUCAGUUCCUUGCUCCUUCAGUCUCUUACUCACAAGGCCUUUCACAUCUCCCACCAAGGCCUAUUUGAGCUAAAGAGUCACCAAGCCCACUGAGUGUUCUUCUGAAGGGUUCCUUGCCUAGGAUUCUGCUUCCACAGCCAUAACCACAGUCUGGAUUUUCAUCAUCUUGCACUGGAUUUAUAGCAAUUGCUUUCUAACUGGACUCCAUAAGUGAUCCCACACAUAACCCCCCAACUAUUUUUAAGAUAUGUAUAACCUCUCCUUGUACACACACAUGUAUUCUCCAUCAGCCUAAAAAUCUAUAAGGGUUUCCUAUUACCAACCCAUUGCAUUUAAACCUUGUCUGUGAUCCAAGGACUCUAUAUCUAGAAUCAGACCCCUCUCUCACUUGAUAACUUCCUUUUCCUUCCUGUGUGGGUACACCCCCUCUAAAUGGAAAUGCAAAUCUCCUCUGUGCUUCUCAAUUAUAGCUUGCCAAGUCUUACCCUAUAUUGUGGCUCUUACAUAUAACUUUUUUUUGGAAUGUUCCUGUUUCCCUUUAUCAGUUCAAGCUUCUGUUUUCUUUAAAACUUUACUCAAAGCCCCCUUCCUUCAGAAGUUUAUCCCACUCUGAAUAAUACCUUAUUAUAGUGAAAGUAAUAAUUACAUUCUAGCUAUUAAAUAACUAUUGCAUACUAGAUACUCUGCUAAUAAAUGUGCUAUUAUUGUCUUACCCUUGCAAAGACCUAUAGAGGCAAGUAGUAUUUUUCUUAUUUACAGAUGAGGAAACUAAACCUUAGAGAAGUUAAGUCAUAUACACAAGUUCACAUAGUAGGGAAGUGCCAGAGUUGAGAUUUGAAAUCAUUGCUAUCAGGCCCUAAAUUUUAUACUCUUCCUUCCUAGAAUAUCAUGUAACAUGUGUACAGUUUUGUUUAAGAGUUUUCCUUGAAAAUGUUUUCUUUAAACUAUGGAAUAUUUUUCAAGGGCAAAAUAUGGUGCCUACUGAUACUAGUUAGCAAACAACUAAAACUCUCUCUAGCUACCAAGGAGCAAAUCUGUUAGCUGGAUCAAUACAGAAUUAUCUGAAAGCCUGUAGAACUAGGCUCAGAAAACCAGAAAGACCAAAGCAAAGUAAGGCAAAGAGACA
This 1324-nucleotide long non-coding RNA is filed under the name Sus scrofa (pig). Its description in RNAcentral is "lncRNA (ENSSSCG00040070586.1)". Lineage: Eukaryota; Metazoa; Chordata; Mammalia; Artiodactyla; Suidae. The record is from RNAcentral.